GGCCGGCCCCUCCCAGCCCGCUUCCUUGGUAACUGCUCUUCCAGAGCCCCUCUCAAAACCCCACUCCAGUUCCCAGCCAGUGGCCUCGCGGGCUCCUCCCUCAUCAUGUCUGGGUUCAGGUCUGGUGGGCCCUGCGCCAGCACUCCAGGGCCCCUUGCCUUUCUUGUCUACACUCAGCUGACCUGCCCAGGCCUCACACUGGCCUGUCCUUCUGAAGUCCCUUCGGCUGCUCCCCUGCAGCAGGGUCUUCUGGGCCCUGGCACGUGCAGUGCCCUCUGCCCAGACACUGUCCCUUCCCUGUGGUGAGUUGCCUGACUCAUCUCACUCGCUCCUCCAGGAAGUCUGUGCUGGUCCCCAAGCCCAGGCUGGGCCUCCUGUGUGUCCCCCAGCCCUGUGGGCUAUAGCAUCUGUCUCCUCUGUGCAGAGAAGGCUGCCAGGGGCUUGGGGGGCAGCGCCCACACACGAUGCCGGCCCAUGAAUGUUUGCUGACUGCGUAAGCCGUCCUGGCAUGGAACGUAUGCAUCUGACUGUCAGGCCCUCAGCAAGUGCCUCUUAGCAGGAGGUGCCCCCAUGCCCAUGGGGAGACUGUGAGGGGCCAGGGCAUCCCGGGCCCGGUGAGAGGGCCAGGUACAGAGAUAGCUGCCUGGGGCCACAGGCAGAAGAACGAGCUUGGCGAUUGAGAGGAGGGUAGAGAGAGCGGGCAGCUAGGGCUUCGCACUGGGACUCUGGGUGCCGCAGUGGCCCUGGGCACCCUGGCGCUCUCUCCAACAGCAGGAGCCGUGCAGCUGGGGGUGCGCACCUGCCAGCAGCUGCCUCCUCCUGUGGGACAGGUCGACCGCUUCUCGGUUCUGUCGGCAGGGCUUCUGUCCCAGGUGUGAAGACAAACGCGAGAGUGUGAUCCCUAACUCACAACCCGUUAUGAAAGUUGCUAAUCUCACAAUUUCUUUCUUAUUCUUAUAGUUUUUUAGGGGGAUUUCAGGUUUUUACAUCUUCCUCUACUAGAAAAUGGUAAUCUUACCGAACAUGAAAGAAUAUCAUCUGUAGCAAAGACUGUAAAUUAUUCCUCAAUAUCUAGUAUCUCCUUCAUCAGUAACAGAGCUCCUGGCACAGCUGGCAAAGGCCACACUUCCAGCUUCCCUCCAGCUGGGUGGGGCCUGCGACUGAGUUCUGGCAAAGGCCAAUGAAAAAAACUUGGAGCUUUGUGUGAGCUUCUAGAAAGUGUUCUUAGAGAUCGUGCUCUACUGUUGUUUUCCUCCUUUCUGCUGGCUGGGAUGAUGCGAAGAUGGUGGGAUGUCGAGCAGCUAUUUUGCACCAUGAGAUGGGAGCCAUAUGUUGAAAGUAAGGGAGCAACGCAAUGAAAGGAGCCAGGACCUCCAAGGGCCGGUAGGCUGCCCUACCAGCUCUGGACUGCUUACCUCCGGAUUUUGUUUACAUGAGCAUAUAAAUUUCUAUUUUAUUUUAGCCAUUGUUACAUUGGGUUGUCCAUCACUCGCAGCUGACCCUGAUCUCAACUGAUAAGCGGAAGUUGCAGGUUCUGGGCUGUAAAUCAGUUGUCCCUUAGUGGAGACACAGGACCUCUCUGCUGAGAUGAUUCAACUCUGAGUCUCUAGGUAUUAGACCAAGUUUCUUUUUCAUUAAACUUUUACUUGCUAUGUUAUGGAGCUCUGAAACCUGUCUUUGAAGGAGAUUUCACGUUUCAGAGACUGCAUCCUCUCCAGAAGUGCUGCAGGCCGGCAGUGCCCCGUCCACCACCCUCUCAGCCCGGCCUGCUCCGUGCUGGCCCGCCCACCCUCCGGUCUGCACGGCUCCCACUGGCCCCAAGGCCUAUCUGUCUCACAAGAUCCUGCUAAGGUGUUUAUCUCGUAUUUGCCACAUUACAGGUAUUUACUCAGGGCAUGUACGUGUCAGGCACAUCUCUGAACAAGGGUUUGGGGGAUUCAGUAGUCAACAUCAUGGACCCCAAUCCUUGGCCCUGCGAAGCCAGCACCGUUGGUAGGGAGACGUGAUACACAUGCCAGGUGAGUGUUAGCUAUCGUGAGUGACCAGCCUCCCGACUCAGUGGACUAGAACCGUCACACGCCUGCCCAUCGUCCACGUAGGCAGCUCAGCCCGUCUGACCUGGCACAGCUGGUCCCCUGCAUCCCGCUGGCAGGGGUGGCCAGUGUCAAGUGGCCUCAGCUUUGCCCCCAGUAGCCUCGUCCUCUAGCAGGCUACACCCAGCUGUGCUCUCGUGGUUCUGGAAGCGGGGAGGAGGGGAGUGGGGACUCUGCAAGCAUUUUUUCAAGCCUUUCCAAGAACCAAGUUUGUUCUCAUCCCACUGUCCACAGCGGUCACACCACCAAGCCUGCAGCAGAAUGGGCAGGGCCUACAAAGGGCAAAGGGCACGGGCACAGGAUGGCCACUUAACUGGAGUAUUGAUGCCAUCAGUGUGCCCCAAUAUGUCACAAAUAAAGUGAGGAGGGCGCAGUGGUCCUUUCGGCACAUGUGGGGAGGGCUGGGGCUUAAUGUAGGGUGGUUGGAGAGGCUCUGAGAGCAGGUGGCUCUGAGUGAAGCCCAAGGGCGUGGUGUCUGAGGAGAGGUCAUUCUUGGUCCGCAGCAGGAUGUGCCACUGAGUCGGUGAGGGCCCUCUCGCCCAAACCUGGACCUUGCAGUGUUAGUCUGGGUGCCAGCAAAGGUCUUCUUGGGGCCACCACAGCACCUUGCUUCCUGAAGGCCCCGUGGACAGGCUGGCUGUCCCAGGCUUGGCACCUCCAGAGUCACAUACCCCGCUCACAGCCAUAGCACACCUCAGGAAGGAGUCUGUGCAGGGUCCUGGGGCACCCACUCCUUCAUGAGGCUGGCCCCCACUUCCCCAGCCCUAAGGCCAUCUCCCAGCUGGCGGGGGGGCCGCGGGCUGCUGCUGCCAUGCUCAGCUGCAGCGGAUGGGAGCAAGACACGGGCCGGAGGUCAGCCGCCUGGUCCACGGGCUGUCUGGGGAACACUGGGAGCCAAAUGCAGGCUGAGGUUCUGGGGUGUGGAGGGGCCUGGGCAGACAGCAGACACAGCGGCAUCUACGUUUCUCAGCUGGCUGGCUGGGAUCAGCGUGUCUCUUCCGGAGACGCCCCCACAGGUUGCACCCAGAAAGAGUUUGACCCGCCGUCUGGGCGUUUCGAGCCCCCUCAGUGGACACACACGAGCCACCACAGCGGCUCUGAACGACAGUGGUUUCUCAGCUCUGCCCACACCAGGACAACUUCCAUGAGGGUCUGACACGGGAAACGUAGUGCUCACGUCUGUCCCCCACCCAGGCCGCCCAGGGUCGGGGACAGACCUGCCUGGAUAUUUCUCACAGCUUUUAAAAGUAGAAACAAAGUCAAAUCAGCUUGAAAAAUACAAAGAGCUACAUCUAACAGCUUCCCAUUAUUGAAGACUUAGGAUUUUUCAGACACGACUUUCUCGGUGAGACCUUGUGCUGCUUCCCAAGGUUACGUUAUUGUCACUCCAGUGUCCAGAAGAGAGAAACUGCGGCUCCCAAAAGGUUCCCUCCCCGACUAGGGGCUGCAGUUUCUUUCCCAGGGUUUUGUCUGCCUCUAUGUCACCAUCAGCAUAAUUUAAGGAGAAGCCAACACUUUUUUGCGACCAAAGUUCUCAGUCCUUUCUCCUACAGCCUCUGCUUGGAGAAAAUUCCCCAGCGGAGAACAUGAGCCCAGAUCCCUGUGUGCUGCGACUAGCUGGGUGUCUCCUGUAAGACCCACGCCUGAGUCCUUGGGAGCACACGGAGAAGAAAACGUGACGUUGUUCCCAGCAGACCCGGUUGGGAGCUGGACUGCUUACUUUCCCCUGGGACCUGACACCGGCUGGCUGUCACAGUGUGUUUCCACAUGCCCUCCAGCCUGCGGACACAGGAUUACUCACAGCACUGGAAGCCGCCCCGUCCCCUGAGCCCGUCAGCCCCGCUCCCCACGGCCGCGGUGAUCCCAGUCUCCCCAGGGGCUGGUUCUGUGAGACUGUCGGGCCCAAAUCCGAUCCAUGUGUGAGCCAGCUGAAGGCGCCUCUGCGGGAAGUGACGCCUCACAGCCGCCCCCCACCUUGGGCCUCUCUGCUUGACACACUCGACGGAGGGCAACAGGGCAAAUUCCAAGACAACAUUUCCAGAAGGAUGAUUCAGAGGCUUGCAGAGGACAUUUGUGGGUAAAAGCCUGCUGCAUCAUCCUGCUGCCAGGAGCAGCCUGGGGACACAUGGCAGGGCGCAGAAUAGGCAGGAACAAGGGUGUCUGAUGAGGGGGACGAUGGGGCUGGAGUUGAGCUCUGCGCAGCACAAGCGGGACCCGCUGACCAGCAUCACGAGGGCUGGGGAGACAGGUAUGUGCAAGGCUGAGCCACUGGGAGACAAAGGAAGGCCCUUGGGAGCGAGAGACGAGGAGACCAAGGCUUCCAGGGUCCUGCUCCCGUCCGAGCUGAGCCGGCUGCCCCCACAGUGCCCCCCGGCCGCUGCCUGCUGAGGCAGGGUGUGCACAGGGCCCAGGAAGAAUGAUCUGGGAGCUCUGGCCUUAGGCGUGAGGCCCAUCUGGGGCCCUUCAGGCGGCCCUAUGGAAACUCCAGGCAUACACACCGCGAUUCCCAGUGCCAGUGCCCACGCAGACGUGACUGAUCCUGAGGGUCUGAUCCUUCCCGCACCCAUGCAGACGUUACUGACAGAUCCUGGGAGUCUGGAACUCACCCAGUCUGUAUUCCACUGAGCCCACAUGGUGGCUGGAGCUACGGUGGUGUAGGUGGCGGGUCUGGCACCCAGCUUCGUUGGGCUGAAGGCACACGGCUCCCCCCGGCUGGUCCACGUCCUCGAGGGCAGUAUGUGGUCUCCUGUGCCCUGUGUCUUCCCCACAGAGCUGGGCUCCCCCGUGCUGACCAUGAAACCAUCUCCUGAUCUAACCUGGCAUUACCCGAGGCAGUGCCCCACUCAAGACAGGCCAGACAAAGCGAGUUGCUGCCUCCCACCUCCUUGCCAGGUUCUUAACCUGGGGUCCAGGCACCCUCCCUAGGCUGCCAGGAGUGCAGGGCUGGGCAAGAAAGCCUUGAACUUGUACGGAAAUCGCUGUGUGAGUGCCGAGUCCCUCCACUCGCAGCCAGCCAUUCCUGUGGAUACACACGCAGCUUAGUAAGAUGAGUCUCCUUCCUCCUCCCCCUCCGCCCUGGUGCCGGAACCUGGGAGGGGAGGGGCGACCUGACUUGGGGGCGCCUACCCCAGUAGAGCAGUUGUCCUGCCCUGAGGCAGUUUUGCACCUGCCCCCAUUAGAGACUGGGUCCCCAAAUGCAGUGCCUCCCCUGGGGAGCAGCACUGGCCAGCUGGCGUCCUGGACCUGGGCAGUUGGCUGCCCGACUGAAUGACGGCUGGGCACAGCCCAGGGCUGCCAGACGCAGGGAACGGCGGGUUGGCCAGGCGCCCUCCCAGACCCUCUGCUGGUGGCGGUGGGGAGGGUCCCGGGGGCCAGAGCCCGCGGCUUGGCUCCAUUUCCCGGAUUCCCGGGCCCCUCGGGCAGGCUCAGUGGCACCUCGCCUCCGGAUCCCGCUGGCCUGCGGGCGGUGCCGCGGGUGAGCCGGGCGGGGGCGUCAUUCCCCUGGGACCCGCACCCUUAGGCCCUCCCAUCCGCUCCGGCCCGGGACGCCGCCCCGGUCCCACUUCGGGAAGUGCCAGGCGCGCAGCGGGACUGCUCU
This is a long non-coding RNA of Pteropus alecto (black flying fox), 5691 nucleotides long. RefSeq lists it as uncharacterized. The record is from RefSeq and is a predicted model, not a curated record. The transcript is spliced from 5 exons. NCBI's taxonomy places the organism in Eukaryota, Metazoa, Chordata, Mammalia, Chiroptera, Pteropodidae.